RNAcentral lists this ribosomal RNA (1609 nucleotides) under Salmonella enterica. RNAcentral's name for it is "partial 23S ribosomal RNA". It matches the Rfam family "Bacterial large subunit ribosomal RNA", at positions 1 to 1561 of the family's 2925-position model. RNAcentral also lists the same sequence under 1 other name. Lineage: Bacteria; Pseudomonadati; Pseudomonadota; Gammaproteobacteria; Enterobacterales; Enterobacteriaceae. The record is from RNAcentral.
GGGUUGUGAGGUUAAGCGACUAAGCGUACACGGUGGAUGCCCUGGCAGUCAGAGGCGAUGAAGGGCGUGCUAAUCUGCGAUAAGCGCCGGUAAGGUGAUAUGAACCGUUAUAACCGGCGAUACCCGAAUGGGGAAACCCAGUGUGAUUCGUCACACUAUCAUUAACUGAAUCCAUAGGUUAAUGAGGCGAACCGGGGGAACUGAAACAUCUAAGUACCCCGAGGAAAAGAAAUCAACCGAGAUUCCCCCAGUAGCGGCGAGCGAACGGGGAGGAGCCCAGAGCCUGAAUCAGCAUGUGUGUUAGUGGAAGCGUCUGGAAAGGCGCGCGAUACAGGGUGACAGCCCCGUACACAAAAGCGCAUGUGCUGUGAGCUCGAUGAGUAGGGCGGGACACGUGGUAUCCUGUCUGAAUAUGGGGGGACCAUCCUCCAAGGCUAAAUACUCCUGACUGACCGAUAGUGAACCAGUACCGUGAGGGAAAGGCGAAAAGAACCCCGGCGAGGGGAGUGAAAAAGAACCUGAAACCGUGUACGUACAAGCAGUGGGAGCACCCUUUGGGGUGUGACUGCGUACCUUUUGUAUAAUGGGUCAGCGACUUAUAUUCUGUAGCAAGGUUAACCGUAUAGGGGAGCCGAAGGGAAACCGAGUCUUAACCGGGCGUUAAGUUGCAGGGUAUAGACCCGAAACCCGGUGAUCUAGCCAUGGGCAGGUUGAAGGUUGGGUAACACUAACUGGAGGACCGAACCGACUAAUGUUGAAAAAUUAGCGGAUGACCUGUGGCUGGGGGUGAAAGGCCAAUCAAACCGGGAGAUAGCUGGUUCUCCCCGAAAGCUAUUUAGGUAGCGCCUCGUGAAUUCAUCUCCGGGGGUAGAGCACUGUUUCGGCUAGGGGGCCAUCCCGGCUUACCAACCCGAUGCAAACUGCGAAUACCGGAGAAUGUUAUCACGGGAGACACACGGCGGGUGCUAACGUCCGUCGUGAAGAGGGAAACAACCCAGACCGCCAGCUAAGGUCCCAAAGUCAUGGUUAAGUGGGAAACGAUGUGGGAAGGCCCAGACAGCCAGGAUGUUGGCUUAGAAGCAGCCAUCAUUUAAAGAAAGCGUAAUAGCUCACUGGUCGAGUCGGCCUGCGCGGAAGAUGUAACGGGGCUAAACCAUGCACCGAAGCUGCGGCAGCGAACGUAUCACUUAAAGCGAUUCAGCGGGUUACGAUUGACGGAGCGAAGCGACGUCAAAGCGUAUACAAAGUCGAGUCGGUUUAAGGAUACGUUCGUUGGGUAGGGGAGCGUUCUGUAAGCCUGUGAAGGUGUGUCGUGAGGCAUGCUGGAGGUAUCAGAAGUGCGAAUGCUGACAUAAGUAACGAUAAAGCGGGUGAAAAGCCCGCUCGCCGGAAGACCAAGGGUUCCUGUCCAACGUUAAUCGGGGCAGGGUGAGUCGACCCCUAAGGCGAGGCCGAAAGGCGUAGUCGAUGGGAAACGGGUUAAUAUUCCCGUACUUGGUGUUACUGCGAAGGGGGGACGGAGAAGGCUAUGUUGGCCGGGCGACGGUUGUCCCGGUUUAAGCGUGUAGGUGUGUGUUCCAGGUAAAUCCGGUUCACUUUAACACUGAGG